ACGCUGGCGGCAGGCUUAACACAUGCAAGUCGAACGGUAACAGGAAUUAGCUUGCUAAUUUGCUGACGAGUGGCGGACGGGUGAGUAAUGCUUGGGAAUCUGGCUUAUGGAGGGGGAUAACUACGGGAAACUGUAGCUAAUACCGCGUAAAAUCUUCGGAUUAAAGGGUGGGACUUUCGAGCCACCUGCCAUAAGAUGAGCCCAAGUGGGAUUAGGUAGUUGGUUAGGUAAAGGCUGACCAAGCCGACGAUCUCUAGCUGGUCUGAGAGGAUGACCAGCCACACUGGAACUGAGACACGGUCCAGACUCCUACGGGAGGCAGCAGUGGGGAAUAUUGCACAAUGGGGGGAACCCUGAUGCAGCCAUGCCGCGUGAAUGAAGAAGGCCUUCGGGUUGUAAAGUUCUUUCGGUGACGAGGAAGGUUGAUAGGUUAAUAGCCUAUCAAAUUGACGUUAAUCACAGAAGAAGCACCGGCUAACUCCGUGCCAGCAGCCGCGGUAAUACGGGGGGUGCGAGCGUUAAUCGGAAUAACUGGGCGUAAAGGGCACGCAGGCGGUGACUUAAGUGAGAUGUGAAAGCCCCGAGCUUAACUUGGGAAUUGCAUUUCAUACUGGGUCGCUAGAGUACUUUAGGGAGGGGUAGAAUUCCACGUGUAGCGGUGAAAUGCGUAGAGAUGUGGAGGAAUACCGAAGGCGAAGGCAGCCCCUGGGGAAUGUACUGACGCUCAUGUGCGAAAGCGUGGGGAGCAAACAGGAUUAGAUACCCUGGUAGUCCACGCUGUAAACGAUGUCGAUUUGGGGAUUGGGCUUUGAGCUUGGUGCCCGUAGCUAACGUGAUAAAUCGACCGCCUGGGGAGUACGGCCGCAAGGUUAAAACUCAAAUGAAUUGACGGGGGCCCGCACAAGCGGUGGAGCAUGU
RNAcentral lists this ribosomal RNA (918 nucleotides) under uncultured bacterium. RNAcentral describes it as "bacterial SSU rRNA". It matches the Rfam family "Bacterial small subunit ribosomal RNA", at positions 33 to 942 of the family's 1533-position model. The record is from RNAcentral.